AACCAUUCUCACCUGCGGCUAGACCUGCGGAGGGAUCAUUACCGAGUUUACAACUCCCAAACCCCUGUGAACAUACCUAUACGUUGCCUCGGCGGAUCAGCCCGCGCCCCGUAAAACGGGACGGCCCGCCCGAGGACCCCUAAACUCUGUUUUUAGUGGAACUUCUGAGUAAAACAAACAAAUAAAUCAAAACUUUUAACAAUGGAUCU
Molecule: unclassified non-coding RNA, 209 nt
Filed under: soil metagenome
Description: partial contains 5.8S ribosomal RNA, internal transcribed spacer 2, and large subunit ribosomal RNA
Source: RNAcentral